Molecule: non-coding RNA, 76 nt
Organism: Parelaphostrongylus tenuis
Lineage: Eukaryota; Metazoa; Nematoda; Chromadorea; Rhabditida; Metastrongylidae
Source: the annotation of a GenBank genome assembly
GCAUAUUUCUGGUGCACUGGUAGUAGCACGUGUCCCCGGUAUGGAUGAAACACGGGCUCGAUUCCCGUCUGAGGCC